This 484-nucleotide ribosomal RNA is filed under the name uncultured bacterium. RNAcentral's name for it is "partial 16S ribosomal RNA". It matches the Rfam family "Bacterial small subunit ribosomal RNA", at positions 29 to 507 of the family's 1533-position model. The record is from RNAcentral.
AUUGAACGCUGGCGGCAUGCUUUACACAUUCAAGUCGAACGGCAGCGCGGGCUUCGGCCUGGCGGCGAGUAGCGAACGGGUGAGUAAUGCAUUGGAACUUGCACAGUAGUGGGGGAUAGCCCGUCGAAAGCCGGAGUAAUACCGCAUACGACCUGAGGGUGAAAACGGGGGACCGAAACUCCUCUCGGUAUUGGAGCGACCGAUGGCGGAUUAGCUAGUGGGUGGGGUAAAGGCUUACCAAGGCGACGAUCCGUAGCUGGUCUGAGAGGACGACCAGCCACACUGGGACUGCGACACGGCCCAGACUCCUACGGGAGGCAGCAGUGGGGAAUUUUGGACAAUGGGGGCAACCCUGAUCCAGCCAUGCCGCGUGCGGGAAGAAGGCCUUCGGGUUGUAAACCGCUUUUGUUCGGGAAGAAAUCCUCUGGGCUAAUACCCCGGGGGGAUGACGGUACCGGAAGAAUAAGCACCGGCUAACUACGUG